AGUGAACGCUGGCGGUAGGCCUAACACAUGCAAGUCGAACGGCAGCACAGUAAGAGCUUGCUCUUACGGGUGGCGAGUGGCGGACGGGUGAGGAAUACAUCGGAAUCUACUUUUUCGUGGGGGAUAACGUAGGGAAACUUACGCUAAUACCGCAUACGACCUACGGGUGAAAGCAGGGGAUCUUCGGACCUUGCGCGAUUGAAUGAGCCGAUGUCGGAUUAGCUAGUUGGCGGGGUAAAGGCCCACCAAGGCGACGAUCCGUAGCUGGUCUGAGAGGAUGAUCAGCCCCACUGGACCUGAGACCCGUUCCAGCCUCCUACGGGAGGCAGCAGUGGGGAAUAUUGGACAGUGGGCGCAAGCCUGAUCCAGCCAUACCGCGUGGGUGAAGAAGGCCUUCGGGUUGUAAAGCCCUUUUGUUGGGAAAGAAAAGCAGCAGGUUAAUACCCCGCUGUUCUGACGGUACCCAAAGAAUAAGCACCGGCUAACUUCGU
RNAcentral lists this ribosomal RNA (491 nucleotides) under uncultured bacterium. Its description in RNAcentral is "partial 16S ribosomal RNA". It matches the Rfam family "Bacterial small subunit ribosomal RNA", at positions 29 to 506 of the family's 1533-position model. The record is from RNAcentral.